UACGUAGGGUGCGAGCGUUAAUCGGAAUUACUGGGCGUAAAGCGUGCGCAGGCGGUUGGCAAAGUCAGCUGUGAAAUCCCCGGGCUUAACCUGGGAACUGCAUUUGUGACUGCAUCGCUGGAGUACGGCAGAGGGGGAUGGAAUUCCGCGUGUAGCAGUGAAAUGCGUAGAUAUGCGGAGGAACACCGAUGGCGAAGGCAAUCCCCUGGGCCUGUACUGACGCUCAUGCACGAAAGCGUGGGGAGCAAACAGG
Molecule: ribosomal RNA, 253 nt
Filed under: uncultured bacterium
Lineage: Bacteria
Description: partial 16S ribosomal RNA
Rfam family: Bacterial small subunit ribosomal RNA
Source: RNAcentral